GAUGAAUACGUUACUGGUAACCCCCGGUUCCCUUGGUAAGGGAGAGGUCGAGAGUUCAAUCCUCUCUCGCAGCACCA
Molecule: transfer RNA, 77 nt
Filed under: Mesorhizobium sp. LNHC229A00
Lineage: Bacteria; Pseudomonadati; Pseudomonadota; Alphaproteobacteria; Hyphomicrobiales; Phyllobacteriaceae
Description: tRNA-Thr
Source: RNAcentral